AUUGAACGCUGGCGGCAGGCCUAACACAUGCAAGUCGAGCGGGGUGAUGGUGCUUGCACUAUCACUUAGCGGCGGACGGGUGAGUAAUGCUUAGGAAUCUGCCUAGUAGUGGGGGACAACAUCUCGAAAGGGAUGCUAAUACCGCAUACGUCCUACGGGAGAGAGCAGGGGAUCACUUGUGACCUUGCGCUAAUAGAUGAGCCUAAGUCGGAUUAGCUAGUUGGUGGGGUAAAGGCCUACCAAGGCGACGAUCUGUAGCGGGUCUGAGAGGAUGAUCCGCCACACUGGGACUGAGACACGGCCCAGACUCCUACGGGAGGCAGCAGUGGGGAAUAUUGGACAAUGGGGGGAACCCUGAUCCAGCCAUGCCGCGUGUGUGAAGAAGGCCUUAUGGUUGUAAAGCACUUUAAGCGAGGAGGAGGCUCUUUUGGUUAAUACCCAAGAUGAGUGGACGUUACUCGCAGAAUAAGCACCGGCUAACUCUGUGCCAGCAGCCGCCGUAA
This 503-nucleotide ribosomal RNA is filed under the name uncultured bacterium. RNAcentral's name for it is "partial 16S ribosomal RNA". It matches the Rfam family "Bacterial small subunit ribosomal RNA", at positions 30 to 523 of the family's 1533-position model. The record is from RNAcentral.